CAGAUAGAGGUUGCAAGGCUUAAUAGUAGUCCUGUUGAUGGGAAAGACACCAGAGGAUACAGGCUGAAAGGAAGCUUUGCCGAAAGAAAACAUUUGUCUUUAGUGUUUAUCUUGGGCAUACAGAGAAUAUCUGUAUGACUGUCACCUGAAAGCAGGUGGGGAGCUAUCA
This 169-nucleotide non-coding RNA is filed under the name uncultured Catonella sp. RNAcentral describes it as "Lysine riboswitch". It matches the Rfam family "Lysine riboswitch aptamer". Rfam says of the family: Riboswitches are metabolite binding domains within certain messenger RNAs that serve as precision sensors for their corresponding targets. Allosteric rearrangement of mRNA structure is mediated by ligand binding, and this results in modulation of gene expression. The record is from RNAcentral. Lineage: Bacteria; Bacillati; Bacillota; Clostridia; Lachnospirales; Lachnospiraceae.